Molecule: long non-coding RNA, 917 nt
Organism: Symphalangus syndactylus (siamang)
Lineage: Eukaryota; Metazoa; Chordata; Mammalia; Primates; Hylobatidae
Source: RefSeq, a predicted model, not a curated record
CGACGAAUAGGGACUAUCUGGGAGCACCGGCAAACGGAGCAUGUUUGCAGAGCGCCAGGAAAAAACCCAGAGGAUGGAGUCUGCAGAGCAGAGAAAGACCGCGGCGGCCCUGCCCUCCUCUGGGCCCCAUUGUCUUUCCCUCCUGUUUAAAAAUCCACAAGGUACUUGACCAGGUGCAGUGGCUCACGCCUGUAAUCACAGCACUUUGGGAGGCCGAGGCGGGUGGAUCACGAGGUCAGGAGUUUGAGACCAGCCUGACUAACAUGGAGAAACCCCGUCCCUACUAAAAAUACAAAAAUUAGCCGGGAGUGGUGGCACGCGCCUGUAAUCCCAGCUACUCAGGAGGCUGAGGCAGGAGAAGUGCUUGAAUCCAGGAGGCGGAGGUUGCAGUGAGCCGAGAUUGCGCCACGGCACUCCAGCCUGGGCGACAGAGCCGCAGUUCGUGGUGAAAAGUAGGCCCGUUUUUUGACAGUCUUCUCUGUCAAAAAAAAAAAAAAAAAAAAAUCCACACGGUGAGAGCUCCAGUGGCGUCAGGAUGCACGUUUCUCCAUCUCCGUUCCGUGAGCUUCAUCGCGGGUAGAAAAUGGCUUGGUCGCUGGUAGGGUAGAAGGGGCAGGAAACGGACGUAAGUGGGAGGGACGGUCAGGCACUGACGGCAGAGUUUGAAUUUCCUAGGAGCCGAGGCACUUUAGUAGUUUUAUCACACUCCAAAUAAAUCCAAGUUCAAACCCGCAGUUGAAUACACUCCGAAUCUGAUCUAGAAUAAAAAAUUGUUUAGCUAUGGUUACUGGCCGCCCGGCUAGCUCAGUCGGUAGAGCAUGAGACUCUUAAUCUCAGGGUCGUGGGUUCGAGCCCCACGUUGGGCGAUAAAUGGCCAUUUUACUCCUAAACCUGCAAUUACUAGCCAUACCUAAAAA